Long non-coding RNA from Pomacea canaliculata, 1833 nucleotides. RefSeq lists it as uncharacterized. The transcript is spliced from 3 exons. The record is from RefSeq and is a predicted model, not a curated record. Lineage: Eukaryota; Metazoa; Mollusca; Gastropoda; Architaenioglossa; Ampullariidae.
AUGAUUACAAAGAUACUCAGGAAAGAUGUCACAUUGUAGGCACUGAAAACAAAUGGAACUAUUCUGUAUUCAUGGCGUACCCUGUUUACAAGAGAGUCAAGUCUGAGAUAAGUAAAAUUUAGAUGAAAAUAAAGAGUACAAUAAAUGCAGCCAGAAAGGUAAUGAUGUAUCAAAGUAUUAAAUUUGCUAAUUUUUCAGUUUUAAGGGUUUUCCAACCAAACAUAUUUGUUCUCGUGUUUUACGCUUGUGUUGUUAAAAUGUCCAGAAAAGUUCUCUCUGAGCUACAUAAAUACCGGUUUAUUUUCUACAGUUCAAGAAAGUUUUUAAGAGGACUCUGCAAUGCGAAACUCUUGACCAUGACUUUUUUUGCACUGAGCAUAAAAACUCACAGAUUUUAAUAAAUAAAAGUAAUCUGCGUUGAUCACAGUAGAUGUGUUUGCUGCUAUGUACAUAAUACUAAUGACACUUUUUUUCAGACAAAGAAGCAAACAGUGAAGGCACUGGCAUCGUUACUGGAGUAAUUUGCUCAUGCUUGGUGGUGGUGGUGGUCGCUGCUGUAAUUUUAGUGUUCUUCCUGAGAAAGAGAAAUCGAGGUACAAAUGCCUCACCUAGCAAUGAUGGCAGGAAUGUAUCAAGUGAGAUAAAACUGCUGUAAGCCAAUAGACGUCAGGAGCAAGACACUGUUCUAAAAAUCCAGAAAGAAACGAUAUAAGAGAAACUGAUUAAAGGACGAUUUCAAGGAGGAGAACCAAGCGAGUUCACCAAACUCUUUACAUUUCUAGGGAACUGAAGGGAAGCCGCGGUUGACAAGGUUUUCAUAUGGAUAUCUGCUAACAGGCUGCAACCAGGUCAUACUGUUAAAGAAAAUGUGUGUCCGAAGACAUAUUGGAUUCUCUAACUCCCCAAAGAGUUUUAUACAUAUUUGUAUAUAGGCAUUAUUAAAUUUUUUUUUACUAAAGUACUCUGCAGACAGACUUACGUUUUGCCUUUUUUCCUUUCUUUCUGUCAAACCUAGUGAAACUCCAUUGACACUGGGCUGAUUUUAUGUAUUUAUAUUCUAAUAAGAUCUGUGACCCGUUUUAUUAGCAUCUUGCUUUGACCCCACAUCUCGUUUGGAAAUGUUUUUAUUCAGUUUUUAAAUGUAUUUAUAAUUUAUUAGAUUCUUUUAUGAAAACCAGAUGCCUUCUAGUGAUACUUGAAUAUCUGUUAAUAUUAAUAUAUGUAUUUAUAUAUGCAUCCAUGUUUGAAUGUAUUUAUGCAUAUAGGUAUGCAUGUUACAAAUUAAAAUGUUGUAACGGUCUCUCGUGGUGAGGUGUCACCUGUUGACGUAUCUGAUCCUGUUUGACCUGCCGGUCGGCCGUGCGAGUAGACUAUUCUAGCAAGUGCGUGAGCGAGUGUGACUGACACAAGCUUUGGUGCCUGGAAUGUUCGGUGCGAGAUAGUGCUUGUGUGACUAGUAGGUGCUGGGUGUUUCCAAAUGAUCUGUACCCUCGGACAUCUCGGAGACUCCUCUAAUUCGAGCAACUGUUAUAUGGUAAAUCUGGUUUUCCAUCUGGCCAUCAGGCGAAGCCCACGUUGUCUUGUGUAUAUUUUUGUGUGGAAUCACAGUGCCACCCUUAACAUGGUCAUUGAAAGCGAAGAAAUCUUCGAAGAGCUCCUCGUUUUCAUUGCAGGUGCCGAUGCCAUGUCUUUCCAUGAUGUGCUCCCUGCUGGUGUUAUCAUCUCUCACUUUAGCAUUUAGUUUUUUUCCAUGGUGAUUUUUAGAUCUCUUCUUGGUGUGUGGUCAAGCAGAGACUGCAAGGUGCUACAGAAGUCUUCUUUUUCUUCUUCCUC